RNAcentral lists this ribosomal RNA (486 nucleotides) under uncultured bacterium. RNAcentral describes it as "partial 16S ribosomal RNA". It matches the Rfam family "Bacterial small subunit ribosomal RNA", at positions 30 to 507 of the family's 1533-position model. The record is from RNAcentral.
AUUGAACGCUGGCGGCAUGCCUUACACAUGCAAGUCGAACGGCAGCACGGGUGCUUGCUCCUGGUGGCGAGUGGCGAACGGGUGAGUAAUACAUCGGAACAUGUCCUGUAGUGGGGGAUAGCCCGGCGAAAGCCGGAUUAAUACCGCAUACGAUCCACGGAUGAAAGCGGGGGACCUUCGGGCCUCGCGCUAUAGGGUUGGCCGAUGGCUGAUUAGCUAGUUGGUGGGGUAAAGGCCUACCAAGGCGACGAUCAGUAGCUGGUCUGAGAGGACGACCAGCCACACUGGGACUGAGACACGGCCCAGACUCCUACGGGAGGCAGCAGUGGGGAAUUUUGGACAAUGGGCGAAAGCCUGAUCCAGCAAUGCCGCGUGUGUGAAGAAGGCCUUCGGGUUGUAAAGCACUUUUGUCCGGAAAGAAAUCCUUGGCUCUAAUACAGUCGGGGGAUGACGGUACCGGAAGAAUAAGCACCGGCUAACUACGUG